UUAUGGCUGUCGUCAGCUCGUGUUGUGAAAUGUCCGUUAAGUCCGGCAACGAGCGAGACCCCCACCCUUAGUUGGUAUCCCGGUCUCCGGAUCGGGACCACACUAAGGGGACUGCCGGCGUUAAGCCGGAGGAAGGAGGGGGCCACGGCAGGUCAGCAUGCCCCGAAACCCCCGGGCCGCACGCGGGUUACAAUGGCAGGGACAGCGGGAUUCCGACCCCGAAAGGGGAAGGUAAUCCCUCAAACCCUGCCUCAGUUGGGAUCGAGGGCUGAAACUCGCCCUCGUGAACGAGGAAUCC
Molecule: ribosomal RNA, 298 nt
Filed under: uncultured Acidianus sp.
Lineage: Archaea; Thermoproteati; Thermoproteota; Thermoprotei; Sulfolobales; Sulfolobaceae
Description: partial 16S ribosomal RNA
Rfam family: Archaeal small subunit ribosomal RNA
Source: RNAcentral